RNAcentral lists this ribosomal RNA (265 nucleotides) under uncultured bacterium. Its description in RNAcentral is "partial 16S ribosomal RNA". It matches the Rfam family "Bacterial small subunit ribosomal RNA", at positions 793 to 1055 of the family's 1533-position model. The record is from RNAcentral.
GUCCACGCUGUAAACGUUGUGCACUAGGUGUGGGAGGUGUUUACCCCUUCCGUGCCGCAGCUAACGCGUUAAGUGCACCGCCUGGGGAGUACGGUCGCAAGACUGAAACUCAAAGGAAUUGACGGGGGCCCCGCACAAGCGGUGGAGCAUGUGGUUUAAUUCGAGGCAACGCGAAGAACCUUACCCAGGCUUGACAUCCCAGGACCGCCCAUGAAAGUGGGUUUUCUCUUCGGAGACCUGGAGACAGGUGUUGCAUGGCUGUCGU